Meleagris gallopavo (turkey) is the source of this 267-nucleotide non-coding RNA. The record is from RefSeq and is a predicted model, not a curated record. Lineage: Eukaryota; Metazoa; Chordata; Aves; Galliformes; Phasianidae.
GGGCAGCUACAGCAUCACAAAAGCUCAGCACGUUAACUACAUGGAAGAAAAAGGCUACUUCUCUCAAGGAACUAGAAAAUAUUUAAGAUGAAAUAAUAAUAUUGACACCAUAUUGGAGGUAACAAAGAAGGCUGGUUGAAGUUACAUACCGUCUCUGUUUGCGGUGGAAUCAGAAGAAUGCUAUCUGAUGCAAUUCAAGUCCUUUAAUGCAGCAGAUGAAACAGUCUGAUACAGUGCUGUGGCGUGUUAUCGGUUGUAGUCUUAUAA